This 253-nucleotide ribosomal RNA is filed under the name uncultured bacterium. RNAcentral's name for it is "partial 16S ribosomal RNA". It matches the Rfam family "Bacterial small subunit ribosomal RNA", at positions 524 to 776 of the family's 1533-position model. The record is from RNAcentral.
GACAGAGGUGCCGAGCGUUAGGCGGAAUCACUGGGCUUAAAGCGCGUGUAGGCGGGCCGUUAAGUGCCCCGUGAAAUCCCCCGGCUCAACCGGGGAACUGCGGGGCAUACUGGCGGCCUUGGGCCACCUAGGGGUCAUCGGAACAGGCGGUGGAGCGGUGAAAUGCGUAGAUAUCGCCUGGAACGCCGACGGUGAAAACAGAUGACUGGGGGUGUGCCGACGCUGAGACGCGAAAGCCAGGGGAGCGAACGGG